RNAcentral lists this ribosomal RNA (229 nucleotides) under uncultured bacterium. RNAcentral describes it as "partial 16S ribosomal RNA". It matches the Rfam family "Bacterial small subunit ribosomal RNA", at positions 568 to 796 of the family's 1533-position model. The record is from RNAcentral.
UACGUAGGCGGAAAAUUAAGUCAGUAGUGAAAUCCUGCAGCUUAACUGUAGAACUGUUAUUGAUACUGGUUUUCUUGAAUAUAGUUGAAGUAGGCGGAAUGUGUAAUGUAGCGGUGAAAUGCUUAGAUAUUACACAGAACACCGAUUGCGAAGGCAGCUUACUAAGCUAUGCUUGACGCUGAGGUACGAAAGCGUGGGGAGCGAACAGGAUUAGAUACCCUGGUAGUCC